Molecule: ribosomal RNA, 467 nt
Filed under: uncultured bacterium
Lineage: Bacteria
Description: partial 16S ribosomal RNA
Rfam family: Bacterial small subunit ribosomal RNA
Source: RNAcentral
GAUGAACGCUGACAGAAUGCUUAACACAUGCAAGUCAACUUGAAUUUGGGUUUUUAACUUAGGUUUGGGUGGCGGACGGGUGAGUAACGCGUAAAGAACUUGCCUCACAGCUAGGGACAACAUUUGGAAACGAAUGCUAAUACCUAAUAUUAUGAUAAUAGGGCAUCCUAUAAUUAUGAAAGCUAUAAGCGCUGUGAGAGAGCUUUGCGUCCCAUUAGCUAGUUGGAGAGGUAACGGCUCACCAAGGCGAUGAUGGGUAGCCGGCCUGAGAGGGUGAUCGGCCACAAGGGGACUGAGACACGGCCCUUACUCCUACGGGAGGCAGCAGGGGGGAAUAUUGGACAAUGGACCGAGAGUCUGAUCCAGCAAUUCUGUGUGCACGAUGAAGUUUUUCGGAAUGUAAAGUGCUUUCAGUUGGGAAGAAACAAAUGACGGUACCAACAGAAGAAGUGACGGCUAAAUACGUG